Long non-coding RNA from Mytilus californianus (California mussel), 553 nucleotides. RefSeq lists it as uncharacterized. Lineage: Eukaryota; Metazoa; Mollusca; Bivalvia; Mytilida; Mytilidae. The record is from RefSeq and is a predicted model, not a curated record. The transcript has 3 exons.
UCAGUGCGUGAUCACGUGACAUUAUUAUUUGUAAACAAACGGGCUCCCCAUGUAACACGUGUCGGAACUAUCCAUACAAGGUGCAAUCAAUCUUAUAUUUCACUAUUUGAUGAUAUUUCUGUGUCUGUUUGUAGGUUUUGCAGAUCAGAUGUCAUAGUGUAGUUUCAUAGACAAAAAAGUACCAUGAUUGUUCCUGUUCAGUAGUUGUGAAUUGUUUAUAGAAUUAGAAGGUGUUGCACUCAGUAUUGUUGAACAUUUAUAUGUAUAUGUAGUAAAGUGAAUGCAACCCCCUUUUUGAAGGACUUCUGAUCCAACCAUGUAGUAUGGCAUGUUUGUGCGAUAUGGUUUUGGCCAGUAGGAUGUUCAUGAAUGACCUGUAGUACAAAGUAUAUCACUGGAUUGAGCUCAUUGUCUAAGUGUAUCAUUAAAGUGCUUUGCUUUGAGCUCGAUCAGUUCAUUGUUAUGCAAUUCAUUCUUUGUGAAAUAAAGAUUUGACAGACAACUCUCAUAUACAAGAAAUUGUCAAAGUAGUAUCCAUUCUAUGUACAAUGUA